This 253-nucleotide unclassified non-coding RNA is filed under the name uncultured bacterium. Its description in RNAcentral is "contains 16S-23S intergenic spacer region". It matches the Rfam family "Bacterial small subunit ribosomal RNA", at positions 524 to 776 of the family's 1533-position model. The record is from RNAcentral.
UACAGAGGGUGCAAGCGUUAAUCGGAAUUACUGGGCUUAAAGCGUGCGUAGGCGGCUUUUUAAGUCGGAUGUGAAAUCCCCGAGCUUAAAUUGGGAAUUGCAUUCGAUACUGGGAAGCUAGAGUAUGGGAGAGGAUGGUAGAAUACCAGGUGUAGCGGUCAAAUGCGUAGAGAUCUGGAGGAAUACCGAUGGCGAAGGCAGCCAUCUGGCCUAAUACUGACGCUGAGGUACUAAAUCAUUGGGAGCAAACAGG